Molecule: ribosomal RNA, 1709 nt
Filed under: Salmonella enterica
Lineage: Bacteria; Pseudomonadati; Pseudomonadota; Gammaproteobacteria; Enterobacterales; Enterobacteriaceae
Description: partial 23S ribosomal RNA
Rfam family: Bacterial large subunit ribosomal RNA
Source: RNAcentral
UAAGCCUGUGAAGGUGUGUCGUGAGGCAUGCUGGAGGUAUCAGAAGUGCGAAUGCUGACAUAAGUAACGAUAAAGCGGGUGAAAAGCCCGCUCGCCGGAAGACCAAGGGUUCCUGUCCAACGUUAAUCGGGGCAGGGUGAGUCGACCCCUAAGGCGAGGCCGAAAGGCGUAGUCGAUGGGAAACGGGUUAAUAUUCCCGUACUUGGUGUUACUGCGAAGGGGGGACGGAGAAGGCUAUGUUGGCCGGGCGACGGUUGUCCCGGUUUAAGCGUGUAGGUGUGUGUUCCAGGUAAAUCCGGUUCACUUUAACACUGAGGCGUGACGACGAGGCACUACGGUGCUGAAGCAACAAAUGCCCUGCUUCCAGGAAAAGCCUCUAAGCAUCAGGUAACAUCAAAUCGUACCCCAAACCGACACAGGUGGUCAGGUAGAGAAUACCAAGGCGCUUGAGAGAACUCGGGUGAAGGAACUAGGCAAAAUGGUGCCGUAACUUCGGGAGAAGGCACGCUGACACGUAGGUGAAGUGAUUUACUCAUGGAGCUGAAGUCAGUCGAAGAUACCAGCUGGCUGCAACUGUUUAUUAAAAACACAGCACUGUGCAAACACGAAAGUGGACGUAUACGGUGUGACGCCUGCCCGGUGCCGGAAGGUUAAUUGAUGGGGUCAGCGCAAGCGAAGCUCCUGAUCGAAGCCCCGGUAAACGGCGGCCGUAACUAUAACGGUCCUAAGGUAGCGAAAUUCCUUGUCGGGUAAGUUCCGACCUGCACGAAUGGCGUAAUGAUGGCCAGGCUGUCUCCACCCGAGACUCAGUGAAAUUGAACUCGCUGUGAAGAUGCAGUGUACCCGCGGCAAGACGGAAAGACCCCGUGAACCUUUACUAUAGCUUGACACUGAACAUUGAGCCUUGAUGUGUAGGAUAGGUGGGAGGCUUUGAAGUGUGGACGCCAGUCUGCAUGGAGCCGACCUUGAAAUACCACCCUUUAAUGUUUGAUGUUCUAACGUGGACCCGUGAUCCGGGUUGCGGACAGUGUCUGGUGGGUAGUUUGACUGGGGCGGUCUCCUCCUAAAGAGUAACGGAGGAGCACGAAGGUUGGCUAAUCCUGGUCGGACAUCAGGAGGUUAGUGCAAUGGCAUAAGCCAGCUUGACUGCGAGCGUGACGGCGCGAGCAGGUGCGAAAGCAGGUCAUAGUGAUCCGGUGGUUCUGAAUGGAAGGGCCAUCGCUCAACGGAUAAAAGGUACUCCGGGGAUAACAGGCUGAUACCGCCCAAGAGUUCAUAUCGACGGCGGUGUUUGGCACCUCGAUGUCGGCUCAUCACAUCCUGGGGCUGAAGUAGGUCCCAAGGGUAUGGCUGUUCGCCAUUUAAAGUGGUACGCGAGCUGGGUUUAGAACGUCGUGAGACAGUUCGGUCCCUAUCUGCCGUGGGCGCUGGAGAACUGAGGGGGGCUGCUCCUAGUACGAGAGGACCGGAGUGGACGCAUCACUGGUGUUCGGGUUGUCAUGCCAAUGGCACUGCCCGGUAGCUAAAUGCGGAAGAGAUAAGUGCUGAAAGCAUCUAAGCACGAAACUUGCCCCGAGAUGAGUUCUCCCUGAGACUUAAAGUCUCCUGAAGGAACGUUGAAGACGACGACGUUGAUAGGCCGGGUGUGUAAGCGCAGCGAUGCGUUGAGCUAACCGGUACUAAUGAACCGUGAGGCUUAACCUUACAAC